AACGUAACAAGGUCUCCGUUGGUGAACCAGCGGAGGGAUCAUUGCUGGAACGCGCCCUAGGCGCACCCAGAAACCCUUUGUGAACUUAUACCUUACUGUUGCCUCGGCGCAUGCUGGCCCCCUCGGGGCCCCCUGGAGACAGGGAGCAGGCACGCCGGCGGCCAAGUUAACUCUUGUUUUUACACUGAAACUCUGAGAAAAAACACAAAUGAAUCAAAACUUUCAACAACGGAUCUCUUGGUUCUGGCAUCGAUGAAGAACGCAGCGAAAUGCGAUAAGUAAUGUGAAUUGCAGAAUUCAGUGAAUCAUCGAAUCUUUGAACGCACAUUGCGCCCUCUGGUAUUCCGGAGGGCAUGCCUGUUCGAGCGUCAUUUCAACCCUCAAGCAUUGCUUGGUGUUGGGGCACUGCUUUUAACGAAGCAGGCCCUGAAAUCUAGUGGCGAGCUCGCCAGGACCCCGAGCGCAGUAGUUAAACCCUCGCUUUGGAAGGCCCUGGCGGUGCCCUGCCGUUAAACCCCCAACUUCUGAAAAUUGACCUCGGAUCAGG
RNAcentral lists this ribosomal RNA (547 nucleotides) under Diaporthe phyllanthicola. RNAcentral's name for it is "eukaryotic LSU rRNA". The stretch from base 218 to 371 matches the Rfam family "5.8S ribosomal RNA". Lineage: Eukaryota; Fungi; Ascomycota; Sordariomycetes; Diaporthales; Diaporthaceae. The record is from RNAcentral.